This 259-nucleotide unclassified non-coding RNA is filed under the name Hevea brasiliensis (rubber tree). The record is from RNAcentral. Lineage: Eukaryota; Viridiplantae; Streptophyta; Magnoliopsida; Malpighiales; Euphorbiaceae.
GUGGAAGACGGGGAAGAAGGCGGAGCUGUGGCCGUAUGUGCCGUAUGAUGUGGUGGCGCACCCGUACGCGCCGGGGGCGUAUGAUAAGAAGGCGCCGGCAGGGUAUGUGAGGAAUGUGAUCAAUGAUCCGUCGGCGGCGCCGCUGGCGCGGGCGAGCUCGACGGAGGUGCGGUAUACUACUGCAUUCAGCGAUGACAACCCCAACUCGUGUUCCGUCAUGUGAGACGGAGAAGAAGGAUGAGGGGUUGUUUGACUUGCA